This is an RNA transcript of Raphanus sativus (radish), 2845 nucleotides long. It is a transcript of the gene named probable aminotransferase ACS12, with no coding region annotated. Lineage: Eukaryota; Viridiplantae; Streptophyta; Magnoliopsida; Brassicales; Brassicaceae. The record is from RefSeq and is a predicted model, not a curated record. The transcript is spliced from 6 exons.
GAAAUUUCAAUUUUAGUCUCCACACUCCUUGACACGUCGGUACCUCUUCGUUACCCCCAACGAACGAAGGAAAGGCUGAGGAGCAGUUAGGCGAUGAGGCUGAUAGUACCUCUCCAGGGAGUGGUUCAAGGCCGCGGAGGUCUCUUCGUCGGCUCUCUUAUCCCUUGCUGCCUCUUCUACUUUCUCCAGCUUUACCUCAAACGACGCCGUUCUCCUCCUCCUCCUCCUCCACCUCCCGAUUCCGACUCCUCCUCGGAGUUACCGAGGACCUCGUCUCGGUCCAGCCUCUUCACCCGAGGGAACUCCAUCGGACGUGUUCGAGUCUCCUCCAGAGCCGCUCCUCUCGCCAAGCCUCCCGAUUCGCCUUACUAUAUAGGGCUUGAGAGAGUCAAGACCGAUCCCUACGAUCGGGUUACUAAUAGGGAUGGGAUUAUACAGCUUGGUUUAGCUGAGAGUACGCUGUGCUUUGACUUGCUCCAGAGAUGGAUGUCUGAGAAUCUGAUGGAUUCGUUGAUGAUGCAAUCUGAUGGUAGUGGAUUCGAUGUCAGUACCAUCGCCAUGUAUCAACCUUUCGAAGGCUUACUCGAGGUCAGAGUGGCUUUUGCUGAUUUCAUGUCACGAAUAAUGGGAGGUAACGUCUCGUUUGACCCUUCAAACAUGGUGAUCACAGCUGGUGGGACUCCUGCUGUCGAAGUAUUGGCCUUUUGCUUGGCUGAUCAUGGAAACGCUUUUCUCAUUCCCUCCCCCUAUUAUCCUGGCUUUGACAGAGAUAUUAAGUUCAGGACAGGAAUCGAGCUUAUACCAGUACACUGCCGCAGCUCUGACAAUUUCACUGUCACCGUUUCCGCCUUGGAACAAGCUUUGAAUCAAGCUAGGAAGCGAGGGAGUAAGGUUUCCGGCAUCCUCUUUUCGAACCCUUCGAACCCUGUUGGAAACAUACUCUCAAGAGAGACGCUACAUGCUAUUCUGAGCUUUGCUCAGGAGAAGAACAUCCAUGUCAUCUCCGAUGAAAUAUUCGCCGGUUCUGUUUACGGGGUGGACAAAGAGUUUGUUAGCAUGGCAGAGGUAGUAGCUGCCUCUGCCUCGGGGGAUUUCGAUAAGAGUAGGGUUCAUAUCAUCUACGGCUUGUCCAAAGACCUUUCCCUUCCCGGUUUUAGAACCGGAGUUAUCUAUUCCUUUCAUGAAGACGUUGUAAGCGCGGCCAAGAAGCUGAUGAGGUUUUCGUCUAUGCCAGUUCCAGUCCAGAGGAUACUUAUCUCUCUGCUAUCGGAUACAAGGUUUAUCGAGGAGUACAUGGCAGCCCACAGGCAGAGGAUCAGGGAUAAGCAUUUUCUCUUUGUGGAAGGUUUGAAGCAAUUAGGGAUUCCGUGUGCUGAGAGUGGUGGUGGGUUGUACUGUUGGGUUGACAUGAGCAGUUUACUCACAUCUUACAGCGAGAAAGGCGAACUCGAGCUGUUUGAGAAGCUAUUGAGUGUUGCCAAGAUUAAUGCCACUCCUGGAACAGCUUGUUAUUGUAUAGAACCGGGUUGGUUCAGGUGCUGUUUUACGGCUUUGGCUGAUGAAGACAUCCCAGUGAUCAUGGAACGGAUCAAACUGCUUGCUGAACCAUCCACAUCUUGAGGCCAAGCCAUAUUUUGGCUCAAAGAGGCAGGAACUCUCAGCUCCAUAUUUUGUAAAUUCCUGCUAGUUUACCCAGGAAAGCCAAAGUUGAUGUCAUUAGAAGCUGUAGUAACCUGAACAUGGUGAGAAUUCUCCUGUGGAAGACGUGGAAAUAGCUUUUCCAAGAACGAAGAUCCCGUCAUGUAACUGCUCGUACUAUCAUCAGUAUCAUAGGCUGGCGAUGUUGGUAUCGAGCUCGUCUCCCUAUUCAGGUUGUCAUCAAAUUCAUCCACUGUAAAAGCACCUGAUAUCGGCACAAAGCUGAAGGAAUCACUGCUUGCGUCAUCAUAAAUAUCACUGCUGGUUUCAGCUUCACAACCGUACAUGGGAGGUGGUGUCAGCGGUCGGUCAAAAGGGUCAGUUGGGUCGAAAUCAACAAAGCAAGGGUACGGUUGUCCAGGAGUUUCUUCCCAAUGGAAUGGAACCGAUGUAACCAGCUUAACCGGAACUGGAACCGGAGGUGGUAAUAGAGGAGUCGUGGCGGUUUUAGACGGUGGUUGUGGAAGCUUAGGUGGGUCAUUUGCGGUAGAUGGGGCCGGUUUUCCAGGAGUUUCUUCCCAACAAAAAGGAACAGACGUAACCAGCUUAACCGGAACUGGAACCGGAGGUGGCAGUGGAGUAGUCGUGGCGGUUUCCGGUGGUGGUGGUUGCGGAAGCUUGAGUAGCAGUUUGCCUGGGGUCUUUUCCCAACAGAAAGGAACGGAGGUGACCAGUUUAACUGGGACAGGGAUAGGUGGCGGAAGUGUAGGAGGAGAAGGCACGAAAGCGGCUAGUGAAGGUUGCCAGUUCUUCUUUGGUAAGCCAGGCAGUUCCUCCCAAACGAAAGGCACAGAAGGAUGCUGCCUCGGUUGUUUUCUAGGUGGUGGCUUUGUUUCUUUGGGUUCCAUUUGGCACAUUUGCUCUUCUCUUUUUGCUCGUGGUCUGGUUUAUUUAUAAAGUAUUGUUUGUGCAUGUGUUGAUCAAGUCGUUGAGAUGUUGUGUUCGGUAAAGUCAAACGACUUUUGGUUUGAACUUUAAAGCAUGCUCUAUUGGGUUAGAGCAAACUAUUUAAUUGUGUCAUGAAUAUCACCUAAACCAUUUGGUGUCGACUGUCGUGUCACCAAAUUUUUAUAGAUUCAUUUCAUGCUGCCUUUUGUCAUAGUUUUCUUUUCCACUUAAUCUUACAAUAAAUUCAUUUAUUUUAUCA